This 83-nucleotide transfer RNA is filed under the name Yersinia enterocolitica (type O:5,27) str. YE149/02. RNAcentral's name for it is "transfer RNA-Leu". The record is from RNAcentral. Lineage: Bacteria; Pseudomonadati; Pseudomonadota; Gammaproteobacteria; Enterobacterales; Yersiniaceae.
ACGCGCCUCCAGUUUUCCAGAGCCCGGGUGGUGAAAUCGGUAGACACAAGGGAUUUAAAAUCCCUCGGCUUAUGGCUGUGCGG